GCCGUGCGUGGUAGCAUGUGCCUGUAGUCCCAGCUACUUGGGAGGCUGAGGUGGAAGGGUCGCUUAAGUCCAGGAGUUCUGGGCUGCAGUGAGCUAUGCUGAUCCGGUGUCCGCACUAAGUUCCGCAUCAAUAUAGUGACCUCCCGGGAGCGGGGGACCACCAGGUUGCCUAAGGAGGGGUGAACUGGCUGAGGUCGGAAACGGAGCAGGUCAAAACUCCCGUGCUGAUCAGUAGUGGGAUCGCGCCUGUGAAUAGCCACUGCACUCCAGCCUGGGCAACAUAGCGAGAUCCUGUCUCA
Molecule: signal recognition particle RNA, 299 nt
Filed under: Saimiri boliviensis boliviensis (Bolivian squirrel monkey)
Lineage: Eukaryota; Metazoa; Chordata; Mammalia; Primates; Cebidae
Description: Metazoan signal recognition particle RNA (ENSSBOG00000007777.1)
Rfam family: Metazoan signal recognition particle RNA
About the family: The signal recognition particle (SRP) is a universally conserved ribonucleoprotein. It is involved in the co-translational targeting of proteins to membranes.
Source: RNAcentral